AAAAUAAGGAACAAAAUCACCAGGAAUGGCUUCAGAACUCCCUGCUUCCCCUGAAAGUUCGUUUAUCCAAACAAGAAACAGAACCGUCUAUAUCAUUCAUCCGCCCAUCCUGAAUGACAUCUGGAGUAAGGUCAAACCCUAAAUUAGUGUCCCUGGGUGACAGUCAUCGGCGGUUGUGAUACUGACUCUGCAAACAAGUUAUGCACCUCAUUGUGCUCAGAAAUUUUCUUCACUUAUGGUCUAAGGAGGCUUCAAGUCCGAGAAGGAGAGGCUAUGCUUUCCCAAGGACUCUGGUUUCGAAGCUGGCUGCAA
This 312-nucleotide unclassified non-coding RNA is filed under the name Hevea brasiliensis (rubber tree). Lineage: Eukaryota; Viridiplantae; Streptophyta; Magnoliopsida; Malpighiales; Euphorbiaceae. The record is from RNAcentral.